AGCUUUAUAUUCAAUAAUGAUAUAAAAUUGCAAAUUUUAAGGUGUAAUAAUUACUAAGGCUU
This 62-nucleotide transfer RNA is filed under the name Nymphalis urticae (small tortoiseshell). RNAcentral describes it as "tRNA-Cys". RNAcentral also lists the same sequence under 1 other name. The record is from RNAcentral. Lineage: Eukaryota; Metazoa; Arthropoda; Insecta; Lepidoptera; Nymphalidae.